Molecule: RNA transcript, 2630 nt
Organism: Dreissena polymorpha
Lineage: Eukaryota; Metazoa; Mollusca; Bivalvia; Myida; Dreissenidae
Exons: 7
Source: RefSeq, a predicted model, not a curated record
CUUCAGGACCGUAAAGGAUGAUCAACAAUGUGGCUUUACAAACUUGUGUGUGCGUUUAUACUUUCUUCAUAAAAAUUGAUAGCUGAAAGUUACUAUGAAAGCAACAUCACUACAUGGAUGAAUGUGUCAUGCAAAUUGGGAGAACCGCAGCUCAAAUACCACAACGGAGUUUUUGAGGUUAACGAGACAUUGUCAAAUAGCGAUGACGUUUGGUUGGGAUACAUCUAUGCAAAGGCUGUGCAAGUCUGCAGGGCGAAAACGGGGUACACGUGCACGCAGUCGCUGACUGUUAUAAAAUAUGUGGAGGUGGACAAUUGGAAAUAAAAAGGACAAGUAAUGGGACAGUUUGCAUCUGCGUUUCGGGAUCUUUUGACACAAAUCAACCGAUAUGCAAAGGUGGUGACCGAAACAGCAUUUGCAAUAACUGUUCUGAGAUCUACACCCAGAUAAACGAUCUCACUGCAAGAGCCAUUGUGGAAAAAGUACAUUCGUAUGACUGGUCGACUGGGAAUAGAUUAUGCCUAACAAUUGGACGGCAUCCAUCAUUUGAACGCAGCAUAACAAAUGCCGGCUUUUGGGCCAUACACACACAAUACUACUGGACUGGGAUUUUCAGGGCAAACAUACUAAUACAACUCUCUUUGAAAGGUUUUAUAUUGCAUUUCUUACAUAAACACACAAUUUAGAAUGUGCAUUAAAGUCGAUUUCACAUAAAGAGAGGACGCUUUUUCAAUGAUUUUCAAUUUCGAUAUACGAUCAGUUAAUUUAGACAUAAAAAUAAGAACACAUCAUUUUGUUAAUCGCGCAAUAUCUAUAAUUCAUUCAAAGCACUUUUAAGCAUAUUUCAAGUAUAACUUACUUUAAUAUAAAGUCUCAAUGUUGCAGACCUCUUUUACCGAUCUGCAGCCGACAGUUAUGUGUUUGCAAACACCAGCAGUGUGCUACGUUGGAUUGCAAACACUGAUACCACGAAAAGAGCUCUUUGUGUCACAGGAAUGCAAUGUUGAUAUUAUUUGUGAAUUGUGACUCUAAGCAAAAUUAUAUUUUUAUUGAGAAUUGUAGACCUUUCCUAUCUAUUGAUAGCUCCAGUCGUAGACGACAUGAGAGAAAGUUAAGGCGUUUUGGAAAUAUUACGAGCGCUUUUUUAUAUAGUUGUAAUUGUCCUUAUAACCGCUCAUUUAGAGGUAACACGUAUUCCAAAAAAAUGUUUGAAAAUUCAUAGAAACCUUAGUGGCCAUUAUUUAACAUUGAGAACAGAUACAAGUAAUGCAUGUGUUCCUAUAAUACGUUAGUGUUUUUUUUAAUCUAACAAACGUAUCAGUAUAAGAUGUACGUACAUUAUGAAGGUUUUUUUUCAACGCAACCAUACAAUUUGUCAAUUAAUUCAAUAUAAUAGCAAAGGUAUAUUUUUAAUAAAAUAUGUGGGGCCAUUAAGAGGAAGUGCCUUCGAUAAAAAUAAAUGCUAAACUGUAUUAUGCACUGCAGUGCAUAAAAGCGCAAACUAUUACCGGUCAAGACACCAAGAAACAACCGAUUAUAUUACAGAAACUACGCUUGGCUCUACAAGGAGCUUGUCAACAACACAAAUACAUACGACUUUAACAACGGACUAUGCAUUUCCAACCAGUGAUGACGGAAUACUUACAGAAAGCAGACACACCAAUUCAGAAAAAUUACCCGCGCUGGGACUACGGAUUGGUGUUUCGAAGAGUGUUACCGUGUUGGAAGCCUAAAUCGACAGAAGGCCAAUCCAAACGAAAGUUUGGAGAAAGACAAGAAACGAAUUAUGAAGGCAUGAUUGACAGAAAUGCAAGCAAUGAUAGUUAUUGUGUACUUGGCGGAAAUGUUGAUUCGGACGUAGGGACCGUUAGCUAUACUAAUACACAAAGCAAUUUUAACAACACAGGAGAUACUAUUAUUUCAGAAUAUUACAAUACGGUUUCAUAUGAAAAUGUGCAGAAGGUUCAUACGUGAAGCUAUCUCAAAACUAAUUAAACGUUUUUUUUGUUGUGAAACACAUUUGUUCACUUCUUUGUUCUAAUUUAAGUUAUGUCAGCCUCAUGGAUUUCAUUUUACGUUCCAAAUCUAUGUACCAAUGUCUGUACUAUGCUUUUGUAUGAAGAUGUUUAUUUUUAUCUUUUAUAUGUUCUACACUAUUAAUUGUUUCUAAAUACGAAAAUGUAUUUUCAAAACAAAACGCCACGUUGUGUCUUGUAUCGACCUUCAUACAAACACCACAAUAACAAAUGACUAUGAACAUUUGAUAGCCACAUGCAAAGUGAAUGCACAUCAAUUUUAUUUUAUGUAUAACACACGCAUACAUGUAGUUUAUUUGGUUUAAUGCUUCUUUUAUACUGUUAAGGAUUCGUGUGUGCUACUCGAAAUUUCUUAACAGCACUAUGUUUCUAUCCUAUGUGUUAGGUUUUUUUCCAAUAACUUCCCUGAAUUUACAUAGAGACAAGUUUUAAAGUGUUCAUAGUGUGAUAAGGAACUGUAAAGAAACCUGUAUGCAUGAGGAAUAUAUUUUUUAUUAUUGUUUAUUAUGACGUUUACCUGUUAAUUAAAUAACAAGUCCACAUUAAUUUUAUAUAAAUUUAAAUCUUAUUAUUAAAUCAAUAAAUGUAAUUCAG